This is a non-coding RNA of Podarcis lilfordi (Lilford's wall lizard), 72 nucleotides long. Lineage: Eukaryota; Metazoa; Chordata; Lepidosauria; Squamata; Lacertidae. The record is from the annotation of a GenBank genome assembly.
GCACGGCUCAGUGGUAGAGCAUCUGCUUUGCAUGCAGAAGAUCGUAGGUUCAAUCCCUGGGAUUGGGAAACA